This 1289-nucleotide ribosomal RNA is filed under the name uncultured bacterium. RNAcentral describes it as "bacterial SSU rRNA". It matches the Rfam family "Bacterial small subunit ribosomal RNA", at positions 65 to 1345 of the family's 1533-position model. The record is from RNAcentral.
AGGGGCAGCGGGGUAGUGCUUGCACUACUGCCGGCGACCGGCGCACGGGUGAGUAACACGUAUGGAACCUGCCCGCAGCAGGGGGAUAAGCGGAAGAAAUUCCGUCUAAUACCGCGUAACAACGUUGGGAGGCAUCUCCCGAUGUUUAAAGAUUUAUCGGCUGCGGAUGGCCAUGCGGCGCAUUAGCUAGUCGGCGGGGUAACGGCCCACCGAGGCGACGAUGCGUAGGGGUUCUGAGAGGAAGGUCCCCCACACUGGUACUGAGACACGGACCAGACUCCUACGGGAGGCAGCAGUGAGGAAUAUUGGUCAAUGGCCGAGAGGCUGAACCAGCCAAGUCGCGUGAGGGAAGACGGCCCUACGGGUUGUAAACCUCUUUUGUCGGGGAGCAAAGCGAACCACGUGUGGUUCAUUGAGAGUACCCGAAGAAAAAGCAUCGGCUAACUCCGUGCCAGCAGCCGCGGUAAUACGGAGGAUGCGAGCGUUAUCCGGAUUUAUUGGGUUUAAAGGGUGCGCAGGCGGAGGUGCAAGUCAGCGGUCAAAUUGCGGGGCUCAACCCCGUACUGCCGUUGAAACUGCAUCCCUUGAGUGCGCGAGAAGUAUGCGGAAUGCGUGGUGUAGCGGUGAAAUGCAUAGAUAUCACGCAGAACUCCGAUUGCGAAGGCAGCAUACCGGCGCGCAACUGACGCUCAUGCACGAAAGCGUGGGUAUCCCACAAAAGUUAGAUACCCUNNUAGUCCACGCANUAAACGACCCCCAUAGGGAGUUCGGCCAGAAUGAUGGCUGAGUGGGUACAGGAAAAGCGUUAAGUGUUCCACCUGGGGAGUACGCCGGCAACGGUGAAACUCAAAGGAAUUGACGGGGGCCCGCACAAGCGGAGGAACAUGUGGUUUAAUUCGAUGAUACGCGAGGAACCUUACCCGGGCUCAAACGACACAGGAAUACUUUUGAAAGGAGGUAGCCCUACGGGGUCUGUGUCGAGGUGCUGCAUGGUUGUCGUCAGCUCGUGCCGUGAGGUGUCGGCUUAAGUGCCAUAACGAGCGCAACCCCUAUCGCCAGUUACCAUCAAGUAAAGUUGGGGACUCUGGCGAGACUGCCGGCGCAAGCUGAGAGGAAGGCGGGGAUGACGUCAAAUCAGCACGGCCCUUACGUCCGGGGCGACACACGUGUUACAAUGGCAGGUACAGAGAGAAGCCAGGUGGCGACACCGCGCGGAACUCGAAAGCCUGUCUCAGUUCGGAUCGGAGUCUGCAACCCGACUCCGUGAAGCUGGAUUCGCUAGUAAUCGC